CGUGGAGCGAUUUGUCUGGUUUAUUCCGAUAACGAGCGAGACUCUAGCCUACUAAAUAGUUCACACAUUGCUUCUGUGUGUGCAACUUCUUAGAGGGAUUUUCGGUGUUUAGCCGCACGAGAUUGAGCAAUAACAGGUCUGUGAUGCCCUUAGAUGUCCGGGGCUGCACGCGCGCUACACUGGCGAAAUCAGCGUGCUUGUCCUUUCUCGAAAGAGAUUGGUAAACCAUUGAAAAUUUGCCGUGAUUGGGAUCGGAAAUUGCAAUUAUUUUCCGUGAACGAGGAAUUCCAAGUAAGUGCGAGUCAUCAACUCGCGUUGAU
RNAcentral lists this ribosomal RNA (320 nucleotides) under Nematoda environmental sample. Its description in RNAcentral is "SSU rRNA". It matches the Rfam family "Eukaryotic small subunit ribosomal RNA", at positions 1300 to 1645 of the family's 1831-position model. The record is from RNAcentral. Lineage: Eukaryota; Metazoa; Nematoda.